This 256-nucleotide ribosomal RNA is filed under the name uncultured bacterium. Its description in RNAcentral is "partial 16S ribosomal RNA". It matches the Rfam family "Bacterial small subunit ribosomal RNA", at positions 524 to 777 of the family's 1533-position model. The record is from RNAcentral.
UACGAAGGGGGCUAGCGUUGUUCGGAAUCACUGGGCGUAAAGGGCGCGUAGGCGGCUUUAUAAGUCGGGGGUGAAAGCCUGUGGCUCAACCACAGAAUUGCCCUUCGAUACUGUAGAGCUUGAGACCGGAAGAGGUAAGUGGAACUGCGAGUGUAGAGGUGAAAAUUCGUAGAUAUUCGCAAGAACACCAGUGGCGAAGGCGGCUUACUGGUCCGGUUCUGACGCUGAGGCGCGAAAGCGUGGGGAGCAAACAGGG